GACGAACGCUGGCGGCGUGCUUAACACAUGCAAGUCGAACGGUAAGGCCCUUCGGGGUACACGAGUGGCGAACGGGUGAGUAACACGUGGGUGAUCUGCCCUGCACUUCGGGAUAAGCCUGGGAAACUGGGUCUAAUACCGGAUAGGACUCCGGACUGCAUGGUCUGGGGUGGAAAGCUUUUGCGGUGUGGGAUGGGCCCGCGGCCUAUCAGCUUGUUGGUGGGGUGAUGGCCUACCAAGGCGACGACGGGUAGCCGGCCUGAGAGGGUGACCGGCCACACUGGGACUGAGAUACGGCCCAGACUCCUACGGGAGGCAGCAGUGGGGAAUAUUGCACAAUGGGCGCAAGCCUGAUGCAGCGACGCCGCGUGAGGGAUGACGGCCUUCGGGUUGUAAACCUCUUUCAGCAUCGACGAAGCGAAAGUGACGGUAGGUGCAGAAGAAGGACCGGCCAACUACGUGCCAGCAGCCGCGGUAA
This 478-nucleotide ribosomal RNA is filed under the name uncultured bacterium. RNAcentral's name for it is "partial 16S ribosomal RNA". It matches the Rfam family "Bacterial small subunit ribosomal RNA", at positions 28 to 523 of the family's 1533-position model. The record is from RNAcentral.